CCUACGGGAGGCAGCAGUGAGGAAUAUUGGUCAAUGGGCGCGAGCCUGAACCAGCCAAGUCGCGUGAGGGAGGACGGCCCUACGGGUUGUAAACCUCUUUUGCCGGGGAGCAACGGGCGCCACGUGUGGCGUCACUGAGAGUACCCGGAGAAAAAGCACCGGUUAACUCCGUGCCAGCAGCCGCGGUAAUACGGGGGAUGCGAGCGUUAUCCGGAUUUAUUGGGUUAAAGGGUUGCGUGGGCGGAUCGUUAAGUCAGGGGUAAAAUUGAGGGGCUAAACCCCUUCCCGCCAUUGAAACUGGCGUUCUUGAGUGGAAGAGAAGUAUGCGGAAUGCGUGGUGUAGCGGUGAAAUGCAUAGAUAUCACGCAGAACCCCGAUUGCGAAGGCAGCAUGCCGGCUUCCGACUGACGCUGAAGCACGAAAGCGUGGGGAUCGAACAGGAUUAGAUACCCGAGUAGUC
This 460-nucleotide ribosomal RNA is filed under the name uncultured bacterium. RNAcentral's name for it is "partial 16S ribosomal RNA". It matches the Rfam family "Bacterial small subunit ribosomal RNA", at positions 338 to 795 of the family's 1533-position model. The record is from RNAcentral.